GGAAAUUCGCUGAAUUCUUAAAUAAUGGGUGUUAAACUAAUAAGCUCGGGAAAGCGCAUCGCUGGCAGCGAUGUGGUCGGGGUUCGAUCCCCCUGGGCUCCACCA
RNAcentral lists this transfer RNA (105 nucleotides) under Paenibacillus sp. NEAU-GSW1. Its description in RNAcentral is "tRNA-Ala". Lineage: Bacteria; Bacillati; Bacillota; Bacilli; Caryophanales; Paenibacillaceae. The record is from RNAcentral.